UUCCUUAAGUAAUGUUGAUAUUGAAAGCUACUUGCUUGCCGGUCUUGGAUCCGAUUAUAAUCCUUUUGUUACAAUGGUUACUACUCGACUUGAUUCUCUUUCUCUUGAGGAACUUUACUGUCAUCUCCUCACCCAUGAGU
Molecule: small nucleolar RNA, 140 nt
Organism: Phoenix dactylifera (date palm)
Lineage: Eukaryota; Viridiplantae; Streptophyta; Magnoliopsida; Arecales; Arecaceae
Product: small nucleolar RNA Z247
Source: RefSeq, a predicted model, not a curated record